This 442-nucleotide long non-coding RNA is filed under the name Vigna radiata. RNAcentral describes it as "long non-coding RNA (VRAD_LNC006962)". Lineage: Eukaryota; Viridiplantae; Streptophyta; Magnoliopsida; Fabales; Fabaceae. The record is from RNAcentral.
GCAGGAAAACUAAUGAGCUUCAAGGGUCCGGACACUUACCAGUUCCGAAUGUGAAUUUGGUUGGAACAGGUUGAAGCCCUUGGUGCCGGCAGCAACAAUUCUGAACAGAUGCAAGUGAUCGGAGAAGAAUUGGAGGUUAGAAAUCUAGAGAGAAGGUUGGGAGGUUUUAGAGAGAAGGAGGAGAAUUUGAGAUUUUCAGAAAGUUUGAGUUUGAGGAAGAAGAAGAUUGCAUGGGAAAAGUGGCGUCAGGUUCCUUUCUCACCUUAUAUACUGCCUCCAUUUAGAACGUCCGGACCAAUCCUAGUUUGCCACCUGACUUCCACUUCCUGGAAGUUCACAAUUCGGCUGCUGCUACACGAAUCACGAAGGAAGGGAAUUAAAAACUUGGCAGAGUUGGUCUCCCACUUACUAGGGAAGAUCGGAUGGUUUGACAAGUGUACCC